Molecule: transfer RNA, 68 nt
Filed under: Conus betulinus
Lineage: Eukaryota; Metazoa; Mollusca; Gastropoda; Neogastropoda; Conidae
Description: tRNA-Met
Source: RNAcentral
UGUAAAAUAAGCUAAAUAUUAAGCUUUUGGGUUCAUACCCCAAAUAUGAAUGGUUUAUUCUUUUACAG